AUGACAGCCCUGGGAACUGAAGUCCUUUGUCUAGCCACAGAAUGGAUACAACAUGCAGGCUCCCCCAUUCUGCCCUGCCAUGGUGUGUCUUGCCUCACCCCGAUGGGUAAGCACUAGGGGGGGGGGAUCCACUCUGCAUGACUCAUUCAACUUUUUGCUUUG
This 162-nucleotide small RNA is filed under the name Chelonoidis abingdonii (Abingdon island giant tortoise). RNAcentral's name for it is "TUC338 (ENSCABG00000005404.1)". The record is from RNAcentral. Lineage: Eukaryota; Metazoa; Chordata; Testudines; Testudinidae.